CUUGCUCAGCCUGAGGGUAGGACUAAUCGGUUUCAACAGCAAUAGCCAAAAGCAUUCUUGUAUGCACCGAUGAACAUGUAGAAAAAGAUACAGUCGACAAAGAAACUGUCAAAGCUACAUCUUUCCGACACCGGAGCUUCAAAUGCUGCUUUGCCACAAAUGAGGAUGCAGCUGCAGGAUAUUCCCCAACCGCACGUCUACACCUCUUAUACAAGGUCGUGAUCCCUAGUAAUAGAUCGGAAAAUAAUCCUCCGAACAUGACAACGAACAUAGCUCCCCAGUCAUAGUAGUGGACAUGAGAUGAAUAAGAGAACCAAUCUGCAGCUUGACCAUUAAUGGUAAUAGGGUGCCACAGCAACCAGCAGGUAAAAUGAUGACAAGGGUCAAACCCAAGAAUUGCCUAGAGAAGUUUUUCUAAAGCUAACUACUUUAUCUGAAGGCAGGUUUAGACGGCAAAUCAUUCAAAUUUUUGCGGUCCGAAUCUACUAUUAUCGUACGGACAUAACUGCAGCUAUACAAUGACUCGAGGAAGUGGGGUGUUCAACUCUCCGAUAGUGGACCUUCACAUAUUGGAGGUUCCUCCACUCCAUCAUCAAUGGAGAAACGAAGAGGGAUAUAUAACGCCAGUAACUAAGCUGCGGAACAGGCAGUCAUGUAGCAUACCGUUCGAAUUUGUAUGCAAGUACUUCCUAGACGCUUCAUUUUGCCACCAAAAUUUCAUAUAGAGGCCUUAUUCCAAAUUGUAAUGAACGAGUUCAAUAAGCGAACUUAAGAAACGAUAGUAAAAAGAGAAUCAAAGACACAACAACAAAUAUUUAGCAUCCAAGACGUUCGAUUAAAGCAGCAAACAAAAACAAAACAUCAAAUAUAGUUCCAACAACAAAACCGAAAUUCCAAAACUCAAAGGUACUACAACAAGAUAAUAGUUGGGGAAACUUAAUCAUCGAACAUACUGAAGCCCAUUUCCUCAUCAGACUCCUCCUCUGGCUCUGCCUUCUUCUCCUCUUCCUUGGCAGCAGCAGGGGCAGCAGCACCAGCGCUAGCACCACUUGCAGCAGCAGCAGCAGGGGCUGCCACGGCAAACUUGCUAGGAUC
This 1095-nucleotide long non-coding RNA is filed under the name Linum usitatissimum (flax). RNAcentral's name for it is "long non-coding RNA (LUSI_LNC006912)". The record is from RNAcentral. Lineage: Eukaryota; Viridiplantae; Streptophyta; Magnoliopsida; Malpighiales; Linaceae.